CUUCAUGACUGAAAUUCUGGCUUUGUGGUCUAAUCUGUUAGUGAUAUUUUCAACUGAAUUUUUAAUUUGAUUUGUUGAGUCAUUCAUUUUCAGGAGUUCUGUUUUGUUGUUUUUCAGAAUCCCUGUAUCUUUUAUUGAAAUGUUCUUUCACUUCCUGUAUUUUUUUCUCUUAGUUCAUCAGCUUCCUAAAUUCUUUUUCUGGCAUUUCUUCUUCAGUGGUAUUAGUGGGUAUUCUGGCAUUUCUUCUUCAGUGGUAUUAGUGGGUAUUCUGGCAUUUCUUCUACAGUGGUAUUAGUGGGUAUUCUGGCAUUUCUUCUACAGUGGUAUUAGUGGGUAUUCUGGCAUUUCUUCUAUGGUGGUAUUAGUGGGUAUUCUGGCAUUUCUUCUAUGGUGGUAUUAGUGGGUAUUCUGGCAUUUCUUCUAUGGUGGUAUUAGUGGGUAUUCUGGCAUUUCUUCUACAGUGGUAUUAGUGGGUAUUCUGGCAUUUCUUCUAUGGUGGUAUCAGUUGUGUUGUGAGCUAUUUGUGGGCGGGGGGGGGCCUGCUUCCUUGCUUUUUCAUAUUGUCAGUAUUUCUUCCAAUCUGCUGGGAUGAUUAUCUCUUCUACUUUUAUAUGUGAGUUUUUAGUGAGCUGAUUUCUCUUUAUUAUGUGUCCUAGGUUGGGUAAAUGUCUUGGUGACAAUAUUUUCACCCAGUUUGCUCUUAUGUUCAGUCUGGAACAACACACUGAGAGGAGACAUGAAUCCCCAAUAAUUACAGCCACUUCAGAACAGAGCCUUCUACUAAUAAAUCUUUAAAACAAAAACUUACUAAAAUGUUCUUCAGCAAUCUACUAAUCUGAGAGGUAAAUGGCAGCAAUUUUCUUGAAUUGGUUGAGAAACUGAAUAAUAAGAAAAAUAAAAUUGCUCUUGAGCUCUGUUUGGCUCUCUGAUCAGCUAUUCUCUCACUGCCUCAAUCUGGG
Molecule: long non-coding RNA, 959 nt
Filed under: Marmota monax (woodchuck)
Lineage: Eukaryota; Metazoa; Chordata; Mammalia; Rodentia; Sciuridae
Source: RNAcentral